RNAcentral lists this long non-coding RNA (420 nucleotides) under Lotus japonicus. Its description in RNAcentral is "long non-coding RNA (LJAP_LNC002099)". The record is from RNAcentral. Lineage: Eukaryota; Viridiplantae; Streptophyta; Magnoliopsida; Fabales; Fabaceae.
UUUUCCUUUUCCUUCUCCUCCAAUUUUGAGGAUUGGUCAAGUACUUCGCCCUCAAAGCUUGCUUUUCCAGAUUUUCCGCAAUCUUUCACCAUCUCCGCUCUCCAUGCUUUGUUCGUACGAGUAGGUGUUGUCAAGUCUUUGAUGAUGUGAAGUUUGGAGCUGAAUUUGAAAUUCAAAUUGCAAAGGUAUGGGCUUCAAUGUGUUUCUUAAGAUUUGAUUGUCUAUAAAUACUGGUGUUCAUUCUUGCCUCAGAGGUGGAAGAGCCAUAGCAACCAGCUUUGGACCCCUUCACUGUCACGCCACCUGCUAUGGAACAGGUUCUCAUUUAUUUUAUUCCCGACAUCUUGCUCUUUCCAUUGUAUAUAUCCAAUGUCAUCAAUUCUUGCUAAUGUAAUUGUUUGAAACACCAUAGAGUUCCUG